Formica exsecta is the source of this 284-nucleotide long non-coding RNA. RefSeq lists it as uncharacterized. The transcript has 2 exons. NCBI's taxonomy places the organism in Eukaryota, Metazoa, Arthropoda, Insecta, Hymenoptera, Formicidae. The record is from RefSeq and is a predicted model, not a curated record.
UAACAACGUACCUAAAAUAAUAUUACAACGUACUUUGCCAAACGUGCACGAGAAACAAAACUUGCUUCAAAACCAGAAUCAAAAUGCAUAUCUUAAUAGUAAUAAUACUAUGCAAGACAACAUUUCAAAAAGUAUUUAUGAUGAGGAUCCAUCUUAUGUACCAAACAAUUCAUCCGAUGAAAGUUUUAUUCAACCUGUGAUAGAUCAGGCAACAAAUUCUGUUGCUAAACAAAAUAGCUCAGCAAUUUCUAGUCGAUUACAUAUAUCACGUCAUAUAACGUCAC